Long non-coding RNA from Dermochelys coriacea (leatherback sea turtle), 256 nucleotides. RefSeq lists it as uncharacterized. Lineage: Eukaryota; Metazoa; Chordata; Testudines; Dermochelyidae. The record is from RefSeq and is a predicted model, not a curated record. The transcript is spliced from 2 exons.
UUUCUCUUCAUGUGUCUCAACAGCUCUGUUCCUGUUCCCUCACCAGCUGGCAGCCCCGUGGGUGGGCUGAUUUCCCUGGACUGGGGGACAGAGCCAGGCUCUGAGGUAAAGCAGCCAAUUUCCCUGGCAUGUUCGUCCCCUUCCUCUCUUCCUAAAUUAGGAAGAUGAGUGUGAGUCAUCAUCUAAGCUGGGGUCAGUCUCAGAGGAAGGGGCUUCUUUCUGUAGGGAAAAGAAAUGGAGGCAAAAAAAAAAGAAA